Molecule: ribosomal RNA, 356 nt
Filed under: uncultured Rubellimicrobium sp.
Lineage: Bacteria; Pseudomonadati; Pseudomonadota; Alphaproteobacteria; Rhodobacterales; Roseobacteraceae
Description: bacterial SSU rRNA
Rfam family: Bacterial small subunit ribosomal RNA
Source: RNAcentral
AACGAACGCUGGCGGCAGGCUUAACACAUGCAAGUCGAGCGGGCGUCUUCGGGCGUCAGCGGCGGACGGGUUAGUAACGCGUGGGAACGUGCCCUUUGCUCUGGAAUAGCCCUGGGAAACUGGGGGUAAGACCGGAUGUGCCCUGAGGGGGAAAGAUUUAUCGGCAAGGGAUCGGCCCGCGUCCGAUUAGGUAGUUGGUGGGGUAACGGCCCACCAAGCCGUCGAUCGGUAGCUGGUUUGAGAGGAUGAUCAGCAACACUGGGACUGAGACACGGCCCAGACUCCUACGGGAGGCAGCAGUGGGGAAUUUUCCGCAAUGGGGGCAACCCUGACGGAGCAAGACCGCGUGGGGAGAA